Cyprinus carpio carpio is the source of this 1293-nucleotide long non-coding RNA. The record is from Ensembl. NCBI's taxonomy places the organism in Eukaryota, Metazoa, Chordata, Actinopteri, Cypriniformes, Cyprinidae.
AAAAAGUCCAGUUUUUAUAUAGCCUGCUGAUUUUUGUUCAUGGUAUUCAGCAGCAACUAAAUGUUUUGCAAAAAGAUAAAUAAAUAUGUUUGAUAUCUAAAUGUUUGACAUGUUUUUAAACCACAUUGGAAUCGAAACUGGGAAUCCAUAAGAAUCAGAAUCGGAAUUGGUAUUGAUAAAAUUCAAACGAUACCCAACCCUAGCUACAGUCCUGCUGAGUUCAGCUUCAACCCUAGUUAAAAACACCUGAUCCAGUGAAUCAUUUCAUUUAGGAUUGCUUGAAAACAGAUAGAUGUGUUGGUGCACAGUUGGAAUUAAACACGUGUAGGGGUGUGGCCCUUCUGAAGCACCACCCCAGUCUAGCAUGGUACUCUAUAUAUAUAUAUAUAUAAGUGUUUUGUGUAGCCUAGAGUGAGCCGUGGUCUUGAGUGAGCUGCGGCCGGCUUGAGUGAGCAGAGGCGGGCGGAUUCUGCGAAGGAGCGUACCUUGUGGGUGUGGCAACCACAUGUGACGACCCCGGGCUGGCCUCUGCUUCGUCCAUGGUGAAAGCCCAUUCUGCGAUUAUCGUCCUCUUUUGGAAUGCCAAACAAAGUAGUUUCUCUUUCACAGUGAAACACACAGUGUUUAUACGACAUGGCGGCGAGCAACAACAAUACUACAACGAGAAUAAAAGUGAAGCUUGCUGUAUUCUAUGUAUUGUAUGCUGUGAUCUCAGAUGAACAAUCAAGAACAAUCUCUUCACUUAACCACACACUCCACAGAAACUGGCGGAUUAUAAUAACGUAUAUGUAAACAAGCAAAAUUGUAUGUAACAUUUUGGUGGCAUAUUAAAAGUAAAAAUGUCAAUAUGUAUUGUAAUAUUUUUGAUUUGAUGAUAUUUUUAUUUUUUUUUAAUACAACUAAGCUACAUCAUAAUUAUUCAACCUCUAUUUAACAUUGCUGUUUUAAGUGACUUGUUUUGGGGUACAAAAUUGCAUUGAAACACAAUUAAGGGAAACUUUUGAAAAACCAAUAACAGAGCUUAAUAAGCUUGAGUUGCUGUUUAGCCCAUACAUGUGCCAUAAAGUUGAGCAGUAAAUUUAGGUAAGUCAAAAGAGCUCACACAAAAACACUAGAAAAUAAAUUCUUUCAUGGACUUAAAUGCAGGAGAAGAUGGGGGAAGAUGUCUUCUGAACUACAAUGUGGAUUUACUCCUAAAUUUAGAUAUGGAGGUGAGGAAUAAUACAAAAAAAAUAAAAUGUCAAAUUCAGCCCUCAGUAUACUUGAUCUAAUCCAUCACUAUUUCAAUUACAA